ACAGGACUUAUGGAAGGCUGGUCUCCCAUGGGACGCUGAACUUCCUCCAGAACUACUCAAUUCAUGGGUCUUAUUCCGCAACAGUUUGCAAGAUAUUAAACGACUUCGUUUUCCUCGUUGGCUAGGUAUACGAGUGGGCUCUUUGGUGCAUUUACACGGCUUUUGCGAUGCUAGUCGUAAAGCGUAUGCAGCAGUCUAUAUGUUCAAACGAUUGAAAAAGGUGGUACAUCCCGCACAGCUCUUAUUUCAGCAAAGACGAAGAUAGCACCAAUUAAGGAUGUGACGAUGCCACGCCUCGAACUGUGUGGUGCUCAUCUUCUAUCCAAGGCGAUGGACAACGUACGUCAAGCCUUAGGCCUACAGGACGCCCCAUGUACAUAUUAGUGUGAUUCCACUAUUGUUUUAUGCUGGAUACGCAAACCACCAUCCACGUUCAAACAAUAUGUAUCCAAUCGGGUAGCUUACAUCCAAGCCAAUUCAGACAUUAACGCUUGGAAGCACAUUCGCUCGGAAUCAAAUCCAGCCGACUGUGCAAGCAGAGGCCUAUCUCCCGCCGUCUUAGCAGAUAAUCAACUUUGGUGGACCGGACCGACGUGCAUUCACCAAGGCGUGGGGGAAAUGCGCUUACCUUCUUUGACGGAGGAGGAGGAGGAGCACCUCUCCAUUGCUGAAUCUCGUGUGGCAUCCAUCUUCGUUUCUAGAGCUAAUUACCAGUGGAUUAUGACAUCCACGAAAGACAACAGGAUACCCCUCAUAGAGAAAUUUUGCAAAUUGAGUCGUUUACUUAACACCACUGUUUGGUUAAGGCGAUGGUUACCGAAAUACCGCGGUUAAAGGAACGGUAUAGUUCCUGUCGCAGAUCAGCACUGGGAUUUACUUCUGCAUAUUCGACCAGCACAAGGUCGCAUUGAAAUCUUAGCACUCAAUCCUUUCUUGGACGCAGACGGCAUACUGAGAGUAGGUGGUCGACUCGCAAACUCCGACUUAAGUGAAGAUCAGCGACAUCAAACUAUAAUUCCGCGUGGGGCCAUGGCUUAUUUACUAGUCGCUGAUGCUCAUACACGUUGCUUACAUGGUGGUAUACAACAAAUGCUUCAGUUUCUUAGACAACGCUUCUGGCUUAUAGGCGCACGGGCGCAAGUAAAGUCUUUCAUCUGGCUUGCACUACAUGUCGUAGGCAUCUUCAAAUUAUACAACGUCAACAAAUGGCUUCGCUCCCGAAAGACCGUGUACUAGUGGCCCCACCAUUCUCUCGUAGUGGCUUGGAUUACUGCGGGCCAUUCCAUGUACGUGUGGGAACACAUCGCGCCACCCCGACUACAAAAACCUAUGCUGCCAUAUUUAUUUGUAUGACGUCACGAUCGGUUCACAUUGAACUGGCAGAGGACUUGAGUACACAGGGGCUAAUCGUCAAGUGCAGGAAGACUUAAAGGCUUGGGUAACAGCACAUGCUCAACAACAUCUGGCAGCUGAAGGUACAUGUUGGAAGUCCAUAACACCUUCCGCACCUCAUCACGGUGGUCUAUGGGAGGCAGCAGUUCGUUCAGCUAAAAAGUAUCUGCUGAGGAUAAUGGGCAGCCAGACGUUGCGUUACACUGAAUUGUCUACUCUCCUGACUCGCAUCGAGGCGUGUUUAAGUUCGAGACCACUGAUAGCUCUCUACGAUGAUCCUGAAGGAGGGAUAGCUCUAACACCGGGUGACUUCCUGAUCGAACAACCACUCAAUUGUCGUCCAGAUCCUCCAUUGCCUGAAGCUCCAGAAAACUGUCUUCGAUAUUGGCAACGCCUCCAGAAAAUGUUGGAGCAUUUUUGGCGCCCCUGGCAAUCCGAAUAUCUAAACACUCUUCAGAACCGGACCAAAUGGACUAGAUCGGAACCCAAUGUUCAGCGUGGAGAUGUAGUUCUUAUACGUGGUGAAAAUUUGCCACCAUCGGUUUGGGGUAUGGGACGAGUGAUUGACGUUCACCCGGGCAGUGAUGGGUUGGUGCGUACCGUGACGAUAGAGUACAAUACCAACCAGUGAAUGUAAAUGUAAUUUUACCAUAUUUCAACUAUAGACAUACCUAUAUGUAUGUAGAUAUGUAUCAUAUGGCGUGAUGCUACAAUCCGUUAACCAAAUAUGUAUUUAAUGAGAAACUCAAUAAAGAAGCGGCCUAUUUCGUGACAGACUGGUGUAGCAAUCAUACGAGCUUUUCAAUUAGCGGAAUUUUAGGACAACUCUUAUACAAGAGGUAUUUUAAGGUAGGAAAGUAACAACAGAUCCAGAUCAAUAUGAAAAGGCUCGACAAGAUAACAUCGUCAGGCUAAGGACAAAAAGAGACGCAGA
RNAcentral lists this unclassified non-coding RNA (2326 nucleotides) under Bactrocera tryoni. RNAcentral describes it as "uncharacterized LOC120769217, transcript variant X1". The record is from RNAcentral. Lineage: Eukaryota; Metazoa; Arthropoda; Insecta; Diptera; Tephritidae.